Dermacentor silvarum is the source of this 232-nucleotide long non-coding RNA. RefSeq lists it as uncharacterized. The transcript is spliced from 4 exons. Lineage: Eukaryota; Metazoa; Arthropoda; Arachnida; Ixodida; Ixodidae. The record is from RefSeq and is a predicted model, not a curated record.
GGCUCAAGUACUGUAUCCUGUUACAGCUGAGAGCGAGACUGACUGCAGUCCAAUGUGGCUCACACGCAUGGAAAGCCGAUCCGGGUGGGAUGCAAGCAAACCUGUGAUAACUCUGUACAUAAGGUGACUGUCCAGCAAGGAGACGAAGAAUGCACUAAUAUUUCAUCUGACACAGCAAGAAAGAUGCAACCCUUCCUGGGAUAUAUAUGUCCUGUUGGCCGGUGUAGCGGGG